UACUUCGUAACUCGUUAAGUGUAAAGUUGUCAAGUUUGUUUUACUUCAAGAACUUUAUAUUCAUGCCCACACACAUGUGAUAAACACCACUACUUUGUUUGGUUGUGGAUUGCAGCUUUCUACUACCUGCAAUAGCCGUAAUUAUUUGGACAUCUCUUAUGGAAGUACAAAAUCAUCCUUACACACAUAUUACAAUUAAUUAAUAUUACAGAAGUAACAUAUAUCCAAGUUGCAGCAGUCUUCAAUUUAAUUGACAAUUUACCAUCGUAACGAGAUGCAAUCUGAAAUAUUAAGUGAAACAUGUCAAAUAGUAAUUCGAAAAUUCUUAGGAAUUGUUUGUUUUUUAUUGCUUGCUCCGUUUCUUAUCACCAGUUUGAUGUUUUUAUAUAUCUACCGUUGUUGGGUAGAAACUGUGCUAAGAAUUCAACUUAAAGAUAAAUUUGCCGGUCUGUUGGAAGGCUCGGAUGCUGUUUGGUGCGUCAAAGAUACAUCUGUACCCUUGAUUACUGCCGUACUAAUAGUGAAGAAAACCGCAGGAACUACAAAUAUGACUUUCUUGAAAGAUAUGAGAAACUUAUUCGAUCACGUAUUUAAAACUGCCCCCAAAAGUUUCGAAAAACUGUUUUACUAUAAAUAUCAAAAGUUUGGUUAUGUUUAUUGGGAAAAAUCAAAAGAAUUUAAUCCAGAAACCGCAAUUAGAUGGUUGGAGUGUGAAAUCAGUAAUUGCGAUGGAUCUUGCGAGAAUGUUCACAGUACAACCUUUCAAGAAAAUCUAAGUUUAAUAUGCAACAGACCGUUGUAUGAUGAUCACAAACCGAUGUGGGAAAUGCUCAUUGGAAGACGUUGUUCCAAAUCUUCAUCUUAUAUGAAAAAAGAUCCGAGCUUGUCUUCCGAAGACCGCUUCAAUACCGAUGUAGACGAAAUUCCUGUAGUAUUUCGCGCUCAUCAUUCUCUUGGUGAUGGUAAAGCUUUAUUCAAGUUGCUUAAUGUGAUUGUCGACGAGAAUAUCACAAAUGAAGUGUCGACAAUAUUGGAAGAACCCAAGGACAGCACCUUAACAGCUAAAGAAAACUAUUUUAAGGAGAAAGAAACUUUUCUAAAAAAACAAUUUAUAUUAAACUUGAAAGAAGUAUAUAACACAAUUAAAGAAAUCAUAAGAAAUGUAAUACUUAUAUUGUUUUCUCUAGAAAUUUUUGUCUCUCAAGUUUUUCGUUGUAUGGAUGGCAAAAGCUUUCUUCAUGGUCGGCCUUUAACAGGUGAGAAACUGAUAUAUUAUCGUUUGGAAAACGAUAUCGAUAAAUCGCAGCUUUUAACAAAAAUUAAAAAAAUAAGACAGUGUACAGGAGCAACAGUUAAUGACAUAAUAUUAACAGCUUUUGCUGCUGGGAUGAUUAAAUAUUAUUUACGCAUGAAGGAAUUAAUACCUAACGCAAUAUCGGUCCUCAUACCAAGAAGACUCUCUAUGUCUGAUGACAACUUAGUAUUGACCAAUGAUGUUUCGUUUAAUAUAGUUAAAAGUUGUUUUGUCAACGCAGAUAGAGAAAUUUUAACAUUACCUACAAACUUUCGGUUUUUUGAACGUCUUCAGAGAACUACAAUAAUAAAUAACAAAAUUAGAAAUAAUUUAGAAGCAUCGUUAAACGUUUUCUUAGUUAAAUAUUUAAGUAGAAUGUUGCCGGUGUCAAUUAUAAAACUUAUUGUUGCAAUUCACAAUCCCAUAAUGGCAUUUAGCAAUAUAAAAGGAAUACAAAAAAAACUUUCUAUUCAGAAUCAUCCUCUAAGCAACAUGACGUUUUGGAUACCGAACAAAAAUACAACCGGGUUGUCCUUAGGUCUAAUUACUUACGAAGGCAAAUUAAAUCUGUCUCUAUUUGUUGAUAAAGCAGUAAUAAGAGAUAUGAAAUUAAUCAAAGAAAUAAUAGACGAGACUAUAUGUGAAAUAGACUCUGCGUAUAAUGAUCUCGCAUAACUUUCGGAAUCAUCGGAUUGUUCAGUGAAAACACUUGUGGAAAAAAAUAGGAAUAUUCUAAAAAGUGAAAACAAUUUUAGUUGUUGGCAUACUCUAUAUCUUUUAUGCACGUAGUGUGUACAAAUGUAUAUUUAUAUAGCAAUAUCGUGUUUAAUUAUUUGUGAAAAUAAAUUUACUAGUAUUAAUAGUGAUUUUUUGUAAUGAAAAACAAAGACCUUUAUAUAUCAACGUCGACUAAUCUAUCUUAUGUAAUAUUUGUAAUGUGAUACUCAUAAAUGUAAAUAGAAAUAGUAAAAUUGUUUCCCACAUA
Pseudomyrmex gracilis is the source of this 2279-nucleotide RNA transcript. RefSeq lists it as uncharacterized. The record is from RefSeq and is a predicted model, not a curated record. The transcript has 6 exons. NCBI's taxonomy places the organism in Eukaryota, Metazoa, Arthropoda, Insecta, Hymenoptera, Formicidae.